UACGGAGGGUGCGAGCGUUGUUCGGAUUCAUUGGGCGUAAAGGGGGCCUAGGCGGCACGGUAAGUCGGAUGUGAAAUCCCACGGCUCACCCGUGGAACUGCGUUCGAAACUGCCAUGCUUGAGUAUGGGAGAGGAGAGUGGAAUUCUCAGUGUAGCGGUGGAAUGCGUAGAUAUUGAGAAGAACACCGGUGGCGAAGGCGACUCUCUGGCCCAAUACUGACGCUGAAGCCCGAAAGCCAGGGGAGCGAACGGGAUUAGAUACCCUCGUA
Molecule: ribosomal RNA, 269 nt
Filed under: uncultured prokaryote
Description: partial 16S ribosomal RNA
Rfam family: Bacterial small subunit ribosomal RNA
Source: RNAcentral